GACGAACGCUGGCGGCAGGCUUAACACAUGCAAGUCGAGCGAAGACUUCGGUCUUAGCGGCGGACGGGUGAGUAACGCGUGGGAACAUACCCUUUGCUACGGAACAGUCCCGGGAAACUGGGUUUAAUACCGUAUACGCCCUUCGGGGGAAAGAUUUAUCGGCAAAGGAUUGGCCCGCGUUGGAUUAGGUAGUUGGUGGGGUAAAGGCCUACCAAGCCGACGAUCCAUAGCUGGUUUGAGAGGAUGAUCAGCCACACUGGGACUGAGACACGGCCCAAACUCCUACGGGAGGCAGCAGUGGGGAAUAUUGGACAAUGAGCGCAAGCUUGAUCCAGCCGAGCCGCGUGAGGGAAAACCUCUCUAAAAGUGAACUGAGAUGAUAUAGUUAUGUUUAAAACCGAAAUCUAACUAAUGGAGAGGUGGGAAAACUAACCGGGUUGUAAACCUCUGAUUUAAAAGAAGAUGAUGACAUACUUUUAAGGAAAAGUCCCGGCAAACUCCGUGCCAGCAGCCGCAGUAACAC
This 523-nucleotide ribosomal RNA is filed under the name uncultured bacterium. RNAcentral's name for it is "bacterial SSU rRNA". It matches the Rfam family "Bacterial small subunit ribosomal RNA", at positions 28 to 526 of the family's 1533-position model. The record is from RNAcentral.